RNAcentral lists this ribosomal RNA (439 nucleotides) under uncultured bacterium. RNAcentral's name for it is "partial 16S ribosomal RNA". It matches the Rfam family "Bacterial small subunit ribosomal RNA", at positions 339 to 795 of the family's 1533-position model. The record is from RNAcentral.
CUACGGGCCGCUCCAGUGAGGAAUAUUGCACAAUGGGGGAAACCCUGAUGCAGCAACGCCGCGUGGAGGAUGACGCAUUUCGGUGUGUAAACUCCUUUUAUGAGUCAAGAAAAUGACGGUAGCUCAUGAAUAAGCACUGGCUAACUCCGUGCCAGCAGCCGCGGUAAUACGGAGGGUGCAAGCGUUACUCGGAAUCACUGGGCGUAAAGGACGCGUAGGCGGGAUGUCAAGUCAGGUGUGAAAUCCUAUGGCUCAACCAUAGAACUGCACUUGAAACUGGCAACCUAGAGUAUGGGAGGGGGAGAUGGAAUUAGUGGUGUAGGGGUAAAAUCCGUAGAUAUCACUAGGAAUACCGAAAGCGAAGGCGAUCUCCCGGAACAUUACUGACGCUAAGGCGUGAAAGCGUGGGGAGCAAACAGGAUUAGAUACCCUUGUAGUC